Molecule: small nucleolar RNA, 138 nt
Filed under: Ornithorhynchus anatinus (platypus)
Lineage: Eukaryota; Metazoa; Chordata; Mammalia; Monotremata; Ornithorhynchidae
Source: RNAcentral
CACCUCCCAGGAUCACACCUGGAGAGUUUCCAGUACUCUAUCGGUCUCGGCUAUGGGUGGGAGAGUCAAGCAGAGGCAUACCCAUUCCAUUCCUAGCUUGGGCAGUGGCUAAUGAGUGGAAGGCAAUCUGCUACGAGU